This 551-nucleotide long non-coding RNA is filed under the name Cricetulus griseus (Chinese hamster). RNAcentral's name for it is "lncRNA (ENSCGRG00015032112.1)". Lineage: Eukaryota; Metazoa; Chordata; Mammalia; Rodentia; Cricetidae. The record is from RNAcentral.
GGAAGGGCUCCCUUUUCCCCUCCGCUCCUGCUCCAGCAGCACGAUGUGAUCCACCAGCAAGGAGGGACACCACUAAGGCAUCUGGCUGUUACGUGGAAGCCUAAGGUGAAGUACUUUGCUACACGGUUUGGUGAUGCCCGUGUUUUGCCACAGCAGCUGAGAAGCCAGCUAGAACAACCAGGAAAGAGAAGACAUGGGUGCAUGUUAGCAGCUCACAAAGGCUGAGAGAAUUCACUUCCCAACUCUGCAUUCAAAGACUUGCUGGCAGUCUGGAAUUGGUCACGGAUCGAAGUUGCAAAAACAAACAAACAAACAAAACCCAUUGGAAACUGCUGUCAAUCUAUGUGGAGGUCCUAGGGCGACUCAGCAGUUUGUUUUCUGGUUGUCCAGUAGAUGGCAGUCUACGCACUGGUUUUUCAUUGACCGUCUUCCAUGCAGGAUUCAGCCUUAACCAUGAAAUGAAACACGCUCUUGUUAUUUUGUGUCAUUAUUUUUGAAAAACAUUUUAAUAAAAUAAAGUAAAUAAAAUAUUUACUUCAAAUAUCCACAAA